UACAGAGGGUGCGAGCGUUAAUCGGAAUUACUGGGCGUAAAGGGCGCGUAGGUGGUUGUAUAAGAUUGUUGUGAAAUCCCUGGGCUUAACCUAGGAACUGCAACGAUGACUGUAUAGCUUGAGUAUUGUAGAGGGUAGUGGAAUUUCCGGUGUAGCGGUGAAAUGCGUAGAGAUCGGAAGGAACACCAGUGGCGAAGGCGGCUACCUGGACAAAUACUGACACUGAGGCGCGAGAGCGUGGGGAGCAAACAGGAUUAGAUACCCUGGUAGUCCACGCUGUAAACGAUGAAGACUAGAUGUUGGGCAGCUUGACUGCUUAGUAUCGAAGCAAACGCGAUAAGUCUUCCGCCUGGGGAGUACGGCCGCAAGGUUAAA
Molecule: ribosomal RNA, 375 nt
Filed under: uncultured bacterium
Lineage: Bacteria
Description: bacterial SSU rRNA
Rfam family: Bacterial small subunit ribosomal RNA
Source: RNAcentral